RNAcentral lists this ribosomal RNA (253 nucleotides) under uncultured bacterium. RNAcentral's name for it is "partial 16S ribosomal RNA". It matches the Rfam family "Bacterial small subunit ribosomal RNA", at positions 524 to 776 of the family's 1533-position model. The record is from RNAcentral.
UACGGAGGGGGCUAGCGUUGUUCGGAAUUACUGGGCGUAAAGCGCGCGUAGGCGGACCUGCAAGUCGGGGGUGAAAGCCCGAGGCUCAACCUCGGAACUGCCUUCGAUACUGCGGGUCUCGAGUCCGGGAGAGGUGAGUGGAAUUCCUAGUGUAGAGGUGAAAUUCGUAGAUAUCAGGAGGAACACCGGUGGCGAAGGCGGCGACCUGGGUAGAUACUGACGCUGAGGUGCGAAAGCGUGGGGAGCAAACAGG